CCUACGGGAGGCAGCAGUAGGGAAUCUUCCACAAUGGGCGAAAGCCUGAUGGAGCAACGCCGCGUGGGUGAAGAAGGUCUUCGGAUCGUAAAACCCUGUUGUUAGAGAAGAAAGUGCGUGAGAGUAACUGUUCACGUUUCGACGGUAUCUAACCAGAAAGCCCCGGCUCACUACGUGCCAGCAGCCGCGGUAAUACGUAGGUGGCAAGCGUUAUCCGGAUUUAUUGGGCGUAAAGGGAACGCAGGCGGUCUUUUAAGUAUGAUGGGAAAGCCUUGGGCUUAACCGGAGUAGGGCAUUGGAAACUGGGAGACUUGAGUGCAGAAGAGGAGAGUGGAACGCCAUGUGUAGCGGUGAAAUGCGUAGAUAUAUGGAAGAACACCAGUGGCGAAAGCGGCUCUCUGGUCUGUAACUGACGCUGAGGUUCGAAAGCGUGGGUAGCAAACAGGAUUAGAUACCCCAGUAGUC
RNAcentral lists this ribosomal RNA (465 nucleotides) under uncultured bacterium. Its description in RNAcentral is "partial 16S ribosomal RNA". It matches the Rfam family "Bacterial small subunit ribosomal RNA", at positions 338 to 795 of the family's 1533-position model. The record is from RNAcentral.